This is a long non-coding RNA of Dermochelys coriacea (leatherback sea turtle), 2737 nucleotides long. RefSeq lists it as uncharacterized. The record is from RefSeq and is a predicted model, not a curated record. NCBI's taxonomy places the organism in Eukaryota, Metazoa, Chordata, Testudines, Dermochelyidae. The transcript is spliced from 4 exons.
AGGUCCCAGAGAUAAGGGUGGAGAAGGGGCUGGGGCUGGCCCAGGGAAGUAGACUAUGGGGUUGGAGGGGAUGCAGCACUUAAUACCAUCUUUUGGGUCCCUGGGCUGGGAUGCAGAGUAGUGGGUGGCCUGGGCCCCCUCCCCCACUCUUGCCAUUGAGGAAGUGGCUGAACUGUGGACUGCUGUUCCCCCUGGAAGGGGCAAAAACAGAGUGUGACAUGGACACAGCCUGAGGGCUGUGUCCUGAAGAGGAUGCUGUAUCCAUGCUUCCUGGAACAGAGGUGACAGUGGGUGAGAGUGCCAGCAGAGGGUGCAGUGCUAAUUCCCCGGACAGCCAGCAGGAGGCACUGCAGUGGUGAGUAGUGCCUUAUCACACAGGUGGAGGGGAUGAAAACCUGGCAAGUCUGGAGCAAGAGGGAAGCACUGCCUCUGCAACAUAGUUUCCUUUUCACCCUAGCCCUCUGGAAGCUCCCCUGCCAGUUCAUGGAAGGCAUCAAGCCAGUGUGGAGCUGGAAAUGGCUGACCUCUGCAGCAGCUCCAUCCCCUCCCCAAAGCCCUGUGGCACCUGAGCUGAGAGCUGCCUGUGGGUACAUCUACACUAAUGACUGUUCACAUGUCCAUGCAUGGGUUUUCUGCCAUAAUCCCCCUAUUGGUCACAGUUGAGCCCCAGAAGCACAUGCCUGAAGUCCAGGUCCCUGUCCCCCUGCACACUGGUAGAAGCACUGCUGCACUGACUGACCACAGCAGAGCAGCGUUGUGCUGCACCUCCAUACCGGUGGAAAUGGAUCCACCACUGAGAGCAGCUUUUUUGUCCAUUGGGACUAACUGGAUGCUGGUGUGUGUGUGUGGGGGGGGGGGGGGGGAGUGCACCAUCCUCAGACAUUCAGCUGGAGCAGCAGGAACGUUCACCUUUACCCAGAAGUUUCAUGGAGGCUGGAGCUGGCGAGCGUUGAGCAGGCUCUGUCCCAGUGCUGGGAAUGCAUGAAGUACUCAAGGCUCCCAUACAGGAAAGCCAAAGUCUCCAACAGUCAGUCCUGAAGGGCUCAUUGUAUAAUGUCCCUUCUAUGAAGAGCUGGACUGGGUGCUGUCAAGAGCCCCUCGUACUGAGCCUGAAGGGGCUCGCAGUCCCCUCCUCUGCCCCACCUACCUCAUUCUCCACAAGGACAUUGAGGGCCAGGGUGAGGAGGAAGUAGGGUCUGUGGGAUGCGCCAGAAGACUUGGAGCAUGUGGUUCCGUGCCAGUACCCAGAGGGCCAGCUUGAAGAAGCCUCCUGUGAUGCAACUGUGGAGGCCCUUGAGCUGUGUCAGGAGCCAGAAUGUCUACAUUACAAUGGACCUCCACCCACUCCACUGAUGCACCCUCCUGCUCUAGUGCUACAUUCCUGAUCUUAGUAUCAAGAGCAUCUGAAGUCCUGUGCCAACUUUUUCCUCCUUGGACGAUACGCCAUGCAUUGCUACGCCUCUGGGUCUUUGCUGCGACUUCAGCACUGCAGUUCAUUGUCAUGCCUCAUCCCCCCCCCCCCCACUGAACUCCUCCAACAUUCCUCCCACCCCCAUCUAGCCCCAACUCAGCUCCACCUCAAGCCAGACAGAGUUCUAAAUUAAUGAUUUUUUUUUGAUGACCCAGAAGUAUGCAGUUGGCUUCUCAAGCUAUUUUUUCAAACACUUUAUAAAGGAAAAAAUCAGCAUGCCCCAGUAUCUGUUUAAUUCUCAGCCAGCAGUCAUGCAGCCAUGGUUCUGGACCUGUGUGGAAAGGUCCCGGUUGGGGAAGGGUAUAGAAAACUUGACAGUUGGUUGGCUAAGGAAAAGUUAGUCACAGCAGUCUUUACAGCCUCUGUCCCUGGUAUCUGUCCUUUCCCGGCACAGAGCCAUGCUGCACAAGCUUACCAUUAUUAGCCUCUGCUUCUUUCUUGCGGGCUGCAAAAUUUGUCUGAGAGCAGCAAAGGCAAUGACAGGUACAUUCCUAGAACGCUGAAAAGUAUCAAAAUUGUGGCCUUCUACAGCAAACUUGCGUUAUGCGAGGGGGAUUUCUCAGCUUGUUCCAAUGGCCAGAAAUAUAGUGCUACUCUUCUCUUUGAAUUGGCAAGACCUUUGACUUCCAAGAGCAAAUCAUUCCACCAGGUAGGAGCAACACCCCAGAGACAGCAGAGGUAGGUGGAGAAAGACCAUGGAGGAGCUGCUCAUAGGGAUGGACAGGAGAAACCAGGAGCAAUUUGAAUUCCUCAGGGCAUAAGAGGAUCCGGCUCGUCAGCUGAAGGAGACUCUUAUCACCAGUUCAGAGAAUGGGAGCACUCCCUAAUGGAGAGGCUCCUCGAACUCGUGGCCAAAAAGAGUAUGGUGUCUGCUUGCUGCUGACACCCCAGAACCAGCCCGUCAGAUGCCGCCUCCUCUUCUUCCUCUGGUUGUCACCCAGGGUGCUGCCAAGCCAGAGGAUCCUGUCACAGUGACUCCCCGCAGCUGACCAGGAGGAGUCCUGGAACACCACAUACCAGCCCUGGAAAUCUGUCUCCAGAGAUGUCCCCAGUUCUCAUUCGCCGUCACUGUCCCCUGUUGCUCACCCCUUCUGAUAAGGAGGUAGCUUAAUGUCUUUAUGCCCAUGGGCAACGUUCUCACUUGCGAGUGGUUACUUUAGUAACAAUAUAGUGUAGUUCUGAUUUCAAAAUCUUCUAACACAUACUUUUCAUAAUUAUGCUCUGCUGACUGUGUGCUAGUCCUCCUUCCUAAUGAUGAACUGAAGG